CGUCAGAUGACUGAAAUGAAAGUAAUGGUCUCUUAAACCAAAAUAUAGUAAGAUUAUAUUAAACGUCUACUUCUGAUGAUA
Molecule: transfer RNA, 81 nt
Filed under: China mantispoides
Lineage: Eukaryota; Metazoa; Arthropoda; Insecta; Orthoptera; Chorotypidae
Description: tRNA-Lys
Source: RNAcentral